RNAcentral lists this ribosomal RNA (497 nucleotides) under uncultured bacterium. RNAcentral's name for it is "partial 16S ribosomal RNA". It matches the Rfam family "Bacterial small subunit ribosomal RNA", at positions 28 to 507 of the family's 1533-position model. The record is from RNAcentral.
GAUGAACGCUGGCGGCGUGCCUAAUACAUGCAAGUCGAGCGAACAGACGAGGAGCUUGCUCCUCUGACGUUAGCGGCGGACGGGUGAGUAACACGUGGAUAACCUACCUAUCAGACUGGGAUAACCUCGGGAAACCGGAGCUAAUACCGGAUAAUAUAUUGAACCGCAUGGUUCAAUAGUGAAAGACGGUUUUUGGGGCACUUAUAGAUGGAUCCGCGCCGCAUUGGCUGGUUGGUAAGGUAACGGCUUACCAAGGCAACGAUGCGUAGCCGACGUGAGGGGGGGAUCGGCCACACUGGAACUGAGACACGGUCCAGACUCCUGCGGGAGGCAGCAGUAGGGAAUCUGCCGCAAUGGGCGAAAGCCUGACGGAGCAACGCCGCGUGAGUGAUGAAGGUCUUCGGAUCGUAAAACUCUGUUAUUAGGGAAGAACAAAUGUGUAAGUAACUAUGCACGUCUUGACGGUACCUAAUCAGAAAGCCACGGCUAACUACGUG